UACGGAGGGGGCGAGCGUUAUUCGGAAUUAUUGGGCGUAAAGGGCGCGUAGGCGGCUUCGCAAGUCAAAGGUGAAAUCCCUCGGCUCAACCGAGGAAUUGCCUCUGAAACUGCGUGGCUUGAGGCCGGGAGGGGGCGGUGGAAUUCCCAGUGUAGCGGUGAAAUGCGUAGAGAUUGGGAGGAACACCAGUGGCGAAGGCGGCCGCCUGGACCGGUUCUGACGCUGAUGCGCGAAAGCGUGGGUAGCAAACAGGAUUAGAUACCCCAGUAGUCC
RNAcentral lists this ribosomal RNA (273 nucleotides) under uncultured bacterium. Its description in RNAcentral is "partial 16S ribosomal RNA". It matches the Rfam family "Bacterial small subunit ribosomal RNA", at positions 524 to 796 of the family's 1533-position model. The record is from RNAcentral.